This 901-nucleotide ribosomal RNA is filed under the name Rhodosporidiobolus ruineniae. RNAcentral describes it as "LSU rRNA". It matches the Rfam family "Eukaryotic large subunit ribosomal RNA", at positions 38 to 955 of the family's 3401-position model. Lineage: Eukaryota; Fungi; Basidiomycota; Microbotryomycetes; Sporidiobolales; Sporidiobolaceae. The record is from RNAcentral.
GCAUAUCAAUAAGCGGAGGAAAAAAGAACUAACAAGGAUUCCCCUAGUAGCGGCGAGCGAAGCGGGAAGAGCUCAAAUUUAUAAUCUGGCGCUUUCGGCGUCCGAGUUGUAAUCUCUAGAAGUGUUUUCCGCGUUGGACCGCACAUAAGUCUGUUGGAAUACAGCGGCACAGUGGUGAGACCCCCGUUCACGGUGCGGAUGCCCAAUGCUUUGUGAUACACUUUCGAAGAGUCGAGUUGUUUGGGAAUGCAGCUCAAAUUGGGUGGUAAAUUCCAUCUAAAGCUAAAUAUUGGCGAGAGACCGAUAGCGAACAAGUACCGUGAGGGAAAGAUGAAAAGCACUUUGGAAAGAGAGUUAACAGUACGUGAAAUUGUUGGAAGGGAAACGCUUGAAGUCAGACUUGCUAUUCGGGGCUUGCUCCGAGUUGCAGGCCAGCAUCAGUUUUUCGGGGCGGAAAAUCACGGAUUGAAGGUAGCAGUUUCGGCUGUGUUAUAGCUUUCCGUUGGAUACGUCCUGGGGGACUGAGGAACGCAGUGUGCUUUUAGCGAGGGCUUCGGCUCUUUCACACUUAGGAUGCUGGUGGAAUGGCUUUAAACGACCCGUCUUGAAACACGGACCAAGGAGUCUAACAUGCUUGCGAGUAUUUGGGUGUCAAACCCGGAUGCGUAAUGAAAGUGAAUGGAGGUGGGAACCGCAAGGUGCACCAUCGACCGAUCUGGAUUUUCUAAGAUGGAUUUGAGUAAGAGCACGUAUGUUGGGACCCGAAAGAUGGUGAACUAUGCCUGAAUAGGGCGAAGCCAGAGGAAACUCUGGUGGAGGCUCGUAGCGGUUCUGACGUGCAAAUCGAUCGUCAAAUUUGGGUAUAGGGGCGAAAGACUAAUCGAACCAUCUAGUAGCUGGG